RNAcentral lists this ribosomal RNA (492 nucleotides) under uncultured bacterium. RNAcentral's name for it is "partial 16S ribosomal RNA". It matches the Rfam family "Bacterial small subunit ribosomal RNA", at positions 29 to 507 of the family's 1533-position model. The record is from RNAcentral.
AGUGAACGCUGGCGGUAGGCCUAACACAUGCAAGUCGAACGGCAGCACAGUAAGAGCUUGCUCUUACGGGUGGCGAGUGGCGGACGGGUGAGGAAUACAUCGGAAUCUACUUUUUCGUGGGGGAUAACGUAGGGAAACUUACGCUAAUACCGCAUACGACCUACGGGUGAAAGCAGGGGAUCUUCGGACCUUGCGCGAUUGAAUGAGCCGAUGUCGGAUUAGCUAGUUGGCGGGGUAAAGGCCCACCAAGGCGACGAUCCGUAGCUGGUCUGAGAGGGUGAUCAGCCACACUGGAACUGAGACACGGUCCAGACUCCUACGGGAGGCAGCAGUGGGGAAUAUUGGACAAUGGGCGCAAGCCUGAUCCAGCCAUACCGCGUGGGUGAAGAAGGCCUUCGGGUUGUAAAGCCCUUUUGUUGGGAAAGAAAGGCAGCAGGUUAAUACCCCGCUGUUCUGACGGUACCCAAAGAAUAAGCACCGGCUAACUUCGUG